CGCCUCUCUUGUAGAAUGGAAGAUAUUGGCAUAGCUUGCCAAGAUGCCUGGAAUGGCUUUCCAUCAAAAAGACCUGUUAUCGAGAUGACAAUUCCUUCUGCUCUGGACAAAACUGUAUCUCCACCUGGUAUUGUAAAUUUAUUCUCCAUAUUUUCCCUCAGUCACCCUUCCUCCUUCGUUGUAUCCACCUCAAGGUGAGGAAUAUUCAUAUCCGGUCCCAAAG
This 223-nucleotide unclassified non-coding RNA is filed under the name Hevea brasiliensis (rubber tree). Lineage: Eukaryota; Viridiplantae; Streptophyta; Magnoliopsida; Malpighiales; Euphorbiaceae. The record is from RNAcentral.